RNAcentral lists this ribosomal RNA (923 nucleotides) under Nematoda environmental sample. Its description in RNAcentral is "SSU rRNA". It matches the Rfam family "Eukaryotic small subunit ribosomal RNA", at positions 88 to 1020 of the family's 1831-position model. The record is from RNAcentral. Lineage: Eukaryota; Metazoa; Nematoda.
CGCGAAUGGCUCAUUACAACAGCCUUAGUUUAUUGGAUCUUAGAGUCCUACUUGGAUAACUGUGGUAAUUCUAGAGCUAAUACACGCAAUUAAUCCUCAACCUUACGGGCGAGGAGCAUUUAUUAGAACAAAACCAAUCGGCUUCGGCCGUAUCUGGUGAAUCUGAAUAACUACGCUGAUCGCAUGGUCUCGUACCGGCGACAUAUCCUUCAAGUGUCUGCCUUAUCAACUGUCGAUGGUAGUUUACACGCCUACCAUGGUUGUAACGGGUAACGGAGAAUAAGGGUUCGACUCCGGAGAGGGAGCCUGAGAAACGGCUACCACAUCCAAGGAAGGCAGCAGGCGCGCAAAUUACCCACUCUCAGAACGAGGAGGUAGUGACGAAAAAUAACGAGACAGUUCUCUAUGAGGUCUGUCAUCGGAAUGGGUACAAUUUAAACCCUUUAACGAGGAUCUAUUGGAGGGCAAGUCUGGUGCCAGCAGCCGCGGUAAUUCCAGCUCCAAUAGCGUAUAUUAAAGUUGUUGCGGUUAAAAAGCUCGUAGUUGGAUCUGCGGUCGUAGACUCUGGUUCCCUCCUAGGGAUACUAGCUGUCUCGACCUACCUUGUUAGAUUUCCCUUGGUGCUCUUUACUGAGUGCCUUGGGUGUCUAGCUCGUUUACUUUGAAAAAAUUAGAGUGCUUAAAGCAGGCAUUUGCCUGAAUAGUGGUGCAUGGAAUAAUGGAAUAGGACCUCGGUUCUAUUUUGUUGGUUUUCGGAGCAUGAGGUAAUGAUUAAGAGGGACAGACGGGGGCAUUCGUACUGCUACGUUAGAGGUGAAAUUCUUGGAUCGUAGCAUGACGAACAACUGCGAAAGCAUUUGCCAAGAAUGUUUUCAUUAAUCAAGAACGAUAGUUAGAGGUUCGAAGGCGAUCAGAUACCGCCC